RNAcentral lists this ribosomal RNA (253 nucleotides) under uncultured bacterium. RNAcentral describes it as "partial 16S ribosomal RNA". It matches the Rfam family "Bacterial small subunit ribosomal RNA", at positions 524 to 776 of the family's 1533-position model. The record is from RNAcentral.
UACGUAGGGAGCAAGCGUUGUCCGGAUUCACUGGGUGUAAAGGGUGCGCAGGCGGGAAAGUAAGUCAGAGGUGAAAUCUCACAGCUUAACUGUGAAACUGCCUUUGAUACUGCUUUUCUUGAGUUCGGGAGAGGUUGAUGGAAUUCCAGGUGUAGCGGUGAAAUGCGUAGAUAUCUGGAAGAACACCAGUGGCGAAGGCGGUCAACUGGCCCGUAACUGACGCUCAGGCACGAAAGCGUGGGUAGUGAACAGG